RNAcentral lists this transfer RNA (72 nucleotides) under Actinomadura syzygii. RNAcentral's name for it is "tRNA-Gln". It matches the Rfam family "tRNA". From Rfam's summary of the family: Transfer RNA (tRNA) molecules are approximately 80 nucleotides in length. Their secondary structure includes four short double-helical elements and three loops (D, anti-codon, and T loops). Further hydrogen bonds mediate the characteristic L-shaped molecular structure. tRNAs have two regions of fundamental functional importance: the anti-codon, which is responsible for specific mRNA codon recognition, and the 3' end, to which the tRNAs corresponding amino acid is attached (by aminoacyl-tRNA synthetases). tRNAs cope with the degeneracy of the genetic code in two manners: having more than one tRNA (with a specific anti-codon) for a particular amino acid; and 'wobble' base-pairing, i.e. permitting non-standard base-pairing at the 3rd anti-codon position. RNAcentral also lists the same sequence under 1 other name. The record is from RNAcentral. Lineage: Bacteria; Bacillati; Actinomycetota; Actinomycetes; Streptosporangiales; Thermomonosporaceae.
UCCGCCGUAGCGUAAUUGGCAGCGCAGUAGGUUUUGGUCCUAAAGGUUCAGGUUCAAGUCCUGGCGGCGGAG